This 310-nucleotide ribosomal RNA is filed under the name uncultured Psychromonas sp. Its description in RNAcentral is "bacterial SSU rRNA". It matches the Rfam family "Bacterial small subunit ribosomal RNA", at positions 30 to 334 of the family's 1533-position model. Lineage: Bacteria; Pseudomonadati; Pseudomonadota; Gammaproteobacteria; Alteromonadales; Psychromonadaceae. The record is from RNAcentral.
AUUGAACGCUGGCGGCAGGCCUAACACAUGCAAGUCGAGCGGUAACAGGAAUUAGCUUGCUAAUUUGCUGACGAGCGGCGGACGGGUGAGUAAUGCUUGGGAAUAUGCCUUAUGGUGGGGGACAACAGUUGGAAACGACUGCUAAUACCGCAUAAUCUCUUCGGAGCAAAGUGGGGGACCUUCGGGCCUCACGCCAUGAGAGUAGCCCAAGUGGGAUUAGCUAGUUGGUAAGGUAAAGGCUUACCAAGGCGACGAUCCCUAGCUGGUCUUAGAGGAUGACCAGCCACACUGGAACUGAGACACGGUCCAG